AGCGAACGCUGGCGGCAGGCUUAACACAUGCAAGUCGAGCGGAUGUAGCAAUACAUCAGCGGCAGACGGGUGAGUAACACGUGGGAACGUACCUUUUGGUUCGGAACAACACAGGGAAACUUGUGCUAAUACCGGAUAAGCCCUUACGGGGAAAGAUUUAUCGCCGAAAGAUCGGCCCGCGUCUGAUUAGCUAGUUGGUGAGGUAACGGCUCACCAAGGCGACGAUCAGAGCUGGUCUGAGAGGAUGAUCAGCCACAUUGGGACUGAGACACGGCCCAAACUCCUACGGGAGGCAGCAGUGGGGAAUAUUGGACAAUGGGCGCAAGCCUGAUCCAGCCAUGCCGCGUGAGUGAUGAA
RNAcentral lists this ribosomal RNA (357 nucleotides) under uncultured bacterium. Its description in RNAcentral is "bacterial SSU rRNA". It matches the Rfam family "Bacterial small subunit ribosomal RNA", at positions 29 to 412 of the family's 1533-position model. The record is from RNAcentral.